RNAcentral lists this non-coding RNA (30 nucleotides) under Mus musculus (house mouse). The record is from RNAcentral. Lineage: Eukaryota; Metazoa; Chordata; Mammalia; Rodentia; Muridae.
UAGAAUGAAAUUCGCUUGUGGUAUUAUCUA